GUGCUCCCUUUGGCAGCACAUGUACUAAAAUUGGAAUGAUACAUUGAGGAUUAGCAUGACCAUUGCAGAAGAAUGGCAUGCAAUAUGUGAAGCAUUCCAUAUUUAC
Molecule: small nuclear RNA, 106 nt
Organism: Molossus molossus (Pallas's mastiff bat)
Lineage: Eukaryota; Metazoa; Chordata; Mammalia; Chiroptera; Molossidae
Source: RefSeq, a predicted model, not a curated record